CUUCUAAGGAAGAUAUUCUUUUGGUGGGUACUGCCUUCAUAUAUUCUCCAUGCUUUGCCUCAUUGAAGCGUCUAAAGCCAACAAAUCCAGAUCGUUGUGAUCAAUCUAGUUGACCGAGGAUCUUGUCUGAUACUUCUGAAGAGGACAACAAAGGCAACUGAAGAAGACUGAUGCAUGAGUAUUCCUGAUAUAGCAUUCUAGACUUGCUGGUCCAAACUAUUUUGAAGGCGCACCUUCAUUUUUAUGAAGACAUUGAAUUAUCAUCUAAUUAUACUAUAUUUGUUUGAACUUUUUUGAUAUUAUGCAUUUUUAUAUAUCCAAGACCCGUUGAGAUUGGACUCUGUUAAUGUAA
Beta vulgaris subsp. vulgaris (sugar beet) is the source of this 352-nucleotide long non-coding RNA. RefSeq lists it as uncharacterized. The transcript is spliced from 2 exons. The record is from RefSeq and is a predicted model, not a curated record. Lineage: Eukaryota; Viridiplantae; Streptophyta; Magnoliopsida; Caryophyllales; Amaranthaceae.